RNAcentral lists this long non-coding RNA (3467 nucleotides) under Sus scrofa (pig). RNAcentral's name for it is "lncRNA (ENSSSCG00005006882.1)". The record is from RNAcentral. Lineage: Eukaryota; Metazoa; Chordata; Mammalia; Artiodactyla; Suidae.
UUUGCUCUUUUCCAUUCUAUGCCAGUCAGUGGUUUUAACCUUGAAAAUAACAGUAGCUGUCUUCAGUGGGAAAAUCCAGGGCUAUUUUGACCCCCCAGAAUAAUUUAGGAUGACUGAGGGAACCCAAAGUAAGUGUCAAAUGUAAUUCAAGGUUACUGUGCCUUAAGAAGUGAUCCGCUGAGUUCUAGCAGGGUGUAAGAGCUAUUUGGAUUAACUAUUUUGACUCUUUUCCACAUUCUCUAAGAGGCAUGAUCUCAGGCAGCAACAGAAAUUGUCUCUAGGGGACAGGGAGGUGUCACACUUGAGAAAUAACUAUAGUAUUUCUUCAGCCUGGCUUUGGACCUGCAUUUCUCAACACAUUUUCCUGAAACCUUCACCUGGGUGUGACCCUGGAAGAUGACAGGAAGGCCAUCUUAAAGUAUGUGUAACCUUUUUUAAGAAAUUAGUUUUGAAAAAAGUAGACUCUUUUUCUUGAAGCCCUUGCCAAAAAUGUAUAAAUUAUUGAAUGGGAAAAUUUCAGUAAGACACAAUUAUUACCAUGGCUGCUGAGGAUUAAGAAGGACGUAAAUUACAUCUCUCUGUACAGAGAUAUAGUGAGGCCUCUGGUAAAGUGACACCUACCUCUGGAAAUCAGACUCAUUUUCAAGACAUAAAAACCUAGGUCAUAAUAGGAGUGACCCUGUUCAUAUGAAUCCUAAAUCUUCUGAAUGGGGGGAGAAUUUUGAAAUCCUUGUCUUUGACCUCUAGCAACAUAUCCCAAAGACCUUAUGAGUUUCAGGAAAGCUUUAUUUUCUUCUUCCUUCUUAAUUUUCUCUCCCAAUUCUAAGAUACUCUCUGGACAGUCUGUUUUAGAGGUCUUUCAAGGAAAGCAAAACUUGGUUUGUCUGCCUGUUAACUGCUGCAAAGUGUGUCGAUUCCNNNNNNNNNNNNNNNNNNNNNNNCUGCUGUUCAGUGUUAGGACUCAAAAGUCCUAAGGAAACACCUAGUAUUGUCAUUAUCUGGAAAAAAGAAGCCCCUAGAUUGGAUUAAGUGAGGUUACUGUGCCCUUAAGAAAUGCCGGUAUUAGGCAGUAAUGAAGGAAUGGCAGCAGGCAUGAAUGCUCUCUUUCAUCAGACCAGCUUCUCCCCCCCCUUUUUUUCUGUAGGAGGAAGAUACGGAGUGAGCGAAGAGCUCUGAUCUGUUUGGGGAAAAAGUAUCACAGCCUAUUAGUUAGAAGCGAUGAAAUUGAGACCGCUUCAGGGACUCCAUUACGCGGGUGGUGUUUAGGCAGACCGUGUCCCUGGGUGCAGGGCGCUGUUGCGGAGGAGAGGGUGCAAUGAAAUAAUUGGACUUGGGAAAUCAGCUGGGCUUCAGCGGCCUCCUAUCUCCUGGUGGGGAGUGGGGGAGGGAGAUACAUUUUCUUCCUCCCCCUCCCUAAUGCCUCCUUUCUUUUAGCAUAAAAGCUCUACCGAAUAAAAUAGCAGGGAAUUUCUUGCUGAGUACAUAGACUGCCAAUAUAUUUUGAAUAAUGAAAGCAAUGGAUAUAAUUAAAUUUCAUCUGACACGGGAAGAAUUCAGAGCAUGUCACCUCGGAACUGCCUCAUGCUAUGUUAUUCUCUAGGCAUCCAGAUAUUUGGUUGUGGCAGCCGAAUGAAAAUAGUUCAGAUUCGAUCAGUAAUGGCAGCAUCUAGAGGGACAUGGAUUAAUGCACUGAUGUAUCUGGAAUUAGGUUCUUAAAUAAAACAUCAUCGCUGGGUAUUUAUUUUCAUUUUAAAGGAAUACAUUGAAAUCGGAAAACAGAACUAGACUGACUUUUCCCGUCAAGACAUACUGAUUGGCAAACUUUUAUGGACAUCAGUUGAGGGCAGGCUCAGAAGUUCAGGUACAGAGAGUCACCUGCUGUUAUAGCUUGGGAGAUCAGAAAAGGUACAGUGAUAGCACGUCCAAGGCUCAGAUAAUCGUUAUUGUACUCUUAAGAAAAAGAUUAAGAAGUUACUGUUUUUUAUAAUCAGCAUAUAUGGUAAUAAUUACAGCUAAUAUCAAAAAUAAAUAGAAAUGUGUAACGUUAUUACUGCUAAUUAAAUACUAAUCAGAUACUUUCUAUGUAUGCAUACACUCUCUCAUAAACAUUUGUUAUAUAUGCAAAAAGCCCUGCUCUUAGAGCCACAAAUGGUUCCUGUUUCUACCUCUGGAAUUUAUUAUCACUUUGCUUUUGAGCAACAAAUAACUUAACAUCAGUCUUCUCAGAAAAAUGAGGAAACUAGGCGAAGUAAUGGCUGAAAUUCUACUUCAGACCCAUGUAUACACACACACACACACACACACACACACACACACACAUUCUUUCUACUUCUGAAAUAACUGCUAGGAGUCAAAUUUGAGGUGCAGCUGCGGCCUCCACCACAGCCACAGCAACACCAAAUCUGAGCUGCAUUUGAAGCCUGUGUUGCAGCUUGUGGCAAUGCCAGAUCCUUAACCCACCGAGCCAGGCCAGGGAUUGAACACAUAUCUUCACAGAGACAGCGUCAGGUCCUUUAACCCGCUGAGCCCCACAGUAGGAACUCCCUACACAACAUAUUAAAAUAAUACCAAUUAUUUUCCCUCCUUUAAGAUUUUGGUUUUUUUAACCAUGUACUAUACACUAAUUGAGCAAGGUGAUAGCACCCAGACCCUCAAGGAAGGAUAUUUUGCAAUUUGAGUAAAAAUGCUUUUUCUUCAUUCAUACUUUCAGAAUUAUAAAUGCGUAUUCUUGGAUAUCUUUGGGGGAAAAAAUCUUUGUUCAGUAUUUUCAGCCGGAGUUUUCACUGUUGUAUGUCCACUUAGUUAACAUCAGGUUCAUGUCCAUGGGUUCAUGGUGGAGGUACAGGUACAGAGACAUGAUCUGGUCCCUCCAGGAGUGCAUUUUCUUUAAAAAUGUCAUAAAAAAAGGGAGUAACAGAGUCAGCCUUUACCAGACUUAUCAUCCAUUUUUGCAUUAUUCAACUUUAGCUGAAAGAAAGAGAAGGAGAAAGAGAGGAUUCCUCAGAGUUACUUUGUGGUACUUUAUGUCUCGCUAAGAGGCCCUGUAUAUAACAGGAUAGGUUUGUCGUUAGUGGAGAAAAGCUGAGUUUAAAGGUUUUAGUUCCCUUAGGAUUCCCGUUGGUUACUUGCCUUCCCCCGACUAUGAUACAUACUCUUAAAAGAGGGGACUUUCUAUUUAUUAUUGUUUCCCCAGGGCUGAUCAUAAGCACGUGGUAACCAAUAAAUGCUGAGCCGAUACAUGAGAUAUUCUUGAUUGUAAGAGAUUAAAUACCAUCCUCCUGGUCUAGGGGAAUGAAACAUCCAUAUAUAUAGCAUAAUAAUUGUGUUUCCAUAUUCUGUCACCUUGGGUUUAGUAAUUAUUUUAGAUACUUUAUUUAUUUAUGUAUGUAUUUAUUUUUGUCUUUUUUUAGGGCUACACCCAUGGCAUAUGGGGGUUCCCAGGCUAGGCGUCUAACUGGAGCUGUUGC